AAAAAAAUCCAUUGCCAUUAUCUUAGCCAUAUUAUACAGAAUGAGUUGAUUUCUCGUAUGUCUGCUGACAUUAGAAAUUUUAUCAUCAAGAUUGUCAAAGUGGCCAAAUAAUUCACUGUUAUCCUAGAUUGUACCCUGAAUGUGAGUCAUCAAAACCAAAUGAGUUUGUUGGUUUGAUGUUCAUAUGUCUGAUGAAAAAAUACAAAUUGUGGAGUACUUUCUUCAUUUUUUGUAGUGGAUGACACAUAUGGUUUGGGAAUUUUUAAGGUAUUGGUUGAUUCUAUGAAGUCCUUCGAUCUUAAUAUUAAUGACAUUAGGGGCCAAGGUUAUGGCAAUGGAUCUAACAAAAAAGAAAAUAAGGGGGUGUGAAGUGGGUUACCUGAGGUAAAUCCAAGAGCUUUGUAUAUGACAUGUGCUUGCCACAGUCUCAACCUCACUCUUUGUGAUAUGGCUAAAUCUUGUGGUAAAGUUGUUUUCUUUUUGUGGAAUUGUGCAACGAAUAUAUGUAAUAUUUAG
RNAcentral lists this ribosomal RNA (516 nucleotides) under Triticum aestivum (bread wheat). Its description in RNAcentral is "partial small subunit ribosomal RNA". The record is from RNAcentral. Lineage: Eukaryota; Viridiplantae; Streptophyta; Magnoliopsida; Poales; Poaceae.